ACGGCCCAGAUCGCAGUCGAUCGUGAUCGAAUGGCUGAGGAUGAUUUCAGACUUGAUCAGGUGAUCAGUGGCCUUGAUGUGUGCGAUUGGAUGGCUUUGGUGUGAGCUGAUCAUGAUCGGACGGUCACGGAUGAUUUUAGAUUUGAUUGGGACUCUAUUUCCUAGUGUAACAGUAUUUUGGAGUUUUUGGAGUUGAUAUAACUCCGAUUGACA
RNAcentral lists this long non-coding RNA (213 nucleotides) under Elaeis guineensis (African oil palm). RNAcentral's name for it is "long non-coding RNA (EGUI_LNC032366)". The record is from RNAcentral. Lineage: Eukaryota; Viridiplantae; Streptophyta; Magnoliopsida; Arecales; Arecaceae.